RNAcentral lists this ribosomal RNA (406 nucleotides) under uncultured bacterium. RNAcentral's name for it is "partial 16S ribosomal RNA". It matches the Rfam family "Bacterial small subunit ribosomal RNA", at positions 30 to 526 of the family's 1533-position model. The record is from RNAcentral.
AUUGAACGCUGGCGGCAUGCUUUACACAUGCAAGUCGGACGAGUGGCGGACGGGGGAGUAAUGUAUGGGAAAGUACCGGGUAAUGGGGGAUAACUAAUCGAAAGAUUAGCUAAUACCGCAUAUUAUUGGAGCGGCCGAUAUUGGAUUAGCUAGUUGGUGGGGUAAAGGCCUACAAAGGAGACGAUCAGUAGCGGGUCUGAGAGGAUGAUCCGCCACACUGGGACUGAGACACGGCCCAGACUCCUACGGGAGGCAGCAGUGGGGAAUUUUGGACAAUGGGCGCAAGCCUGAUCCAGCCAUGCCGCGUGUCUGAAGAAGGCCUUCGGGUUGUAAAGGACUUUUGUCAGGGAAGCGGUACCUGAAGAAUAAGCACCGGCUAACUCCGUGCCAGCAGCCGCGGUAAUAC